GAUGAACACUAGCGGCGUGCCUAACACAUGCAAGUCGAACGGGAAUCUUCGGAUUCUAGUGGCGGACGGGUGAGUAACGCGUAAGAAUCUAACUUCAGGACGGGGACAACAGUUGGAAACGACUGCUAAUACCCGAUAUGCCGCAAGGUGAAACCUAAUUGGCCUGGAGAAGAGCUUGCGUCUGAUUAGCUAGUUGGUGGGGUAAGAGCCUACCAAGGCGACGAUCAGUAGCUGGUCUGAGAGGAUGAGCAGCCACACUGGGACUGAGACACGGCCCAGACUCCUACGGGAGGCAGCAGUGGGGAAUUUUUCCGCAAUGGGCGAAAGCCUGACGGAGCAAUACCGCGUGAGGGACGACGGCUUUUGGGUUGUAAACCCUCUUUUCCCUGGGAAGAAGAUCUGACGGUACCAGGGGAAUCAGCAUCGGCUAACUCCGUGCCAGCAGCCGCGGUAAU
Molecule: ribosomal RNA, 455 nt
Filed under: uncultured cyanobacterium
Lineage: Bacteria; Bacillati; Cyanobacteriota
Description: bacterial SSU rRNA
Rfam family: Bacterial small subunit ribosomal RNA
Source: RNAcentral